AGGAAGGCGUUGUGGUUAAAACCGCAGCGAUUGACGUUACUCGCAGAAGCACCGGUUAACUCCGUGCCGUAAUACGGAGGUGCAAGCGUUAAUCGGAAUUACUGGGCGUAAAGCGCACGCAGGCGGUCUGUCAAGUCGGAUGUGAAAUCCCCGGGCUAACCUGGGAACUGCAUCCGAAACAGAGUGUAGAGGGGGGUAGAAUUCCAGGUGUGAGCGGUGAAAUGCGUAGAGAUCUGGAGGAAUACCGGUGGCGAAGGCGGCCCGACUGACGCUCAGUGCGAAAGCGUGGGGAGCAAACAGGAUUAGAUACCCUGGUAGUCCACGCCGUAAACGAUGUCGACUUGGAGGUUGUGCCCUUGAGGCGUGGCUUCCGGAGCUAACGCGUUAAGUCGACCGGAGUACGGCCGCAAGGUUAAAACUCAAAUGAAUUGACGGGGGCCCGCACAAGCGGUGGAGCAUGUGGUUUAAUUCGAUGCAACGCGAAGAACCUUACCUACUCUUGACAUCCAGAGAACUUAGCAGAGAUGCUUUGGUGCCUUCGGGAACUCUGAGACAGGUGCUGUGCCGUGUUGCUGGGGUUAAGUCCCGCAACGAGCCAACCCUUAUCCUUUGUUGCCAGCGGUCGGCCGGGAACUCAAAGGAGACUUUGCCAGUGAUAAACUGGAGGAAGGUGGGGAUGACGUCAAGUCAUCAUGGCAGUAGGGCUACACACGUGCUACAAUGGCAUAUACAAAGAGAAGCGACCUCCGCGAGAGCAAGCGGACCUCAUAAAAGUAUGUCGUAGUCCGGAUUGGAGUCUGCAACUCGACUCGGAAGUCGCUAGUAAUCGUGGAUCAGAAUGCCACGGUGAAUACGUUCCCGGGCCUU
This 867-nucleotide ribosomal RNA is filed under the name Citrobacter freundii. RNAcentral describes it as "bacterial SSU rRNA". It matches the Rfam family "Bacterial small subunit ribosomal RNA", at positions 442 to 1382 of the family's 1533-position model. Lineage: Bacteria; Pseudomonadati; Pseudomonadota; Gammaproteobacteria; Enterobacterales; Enterobacteriaceae. The record is from RNAcentral.